GCCUGCCGUGGUGUAAUGGUAACACGUCUGACCCGGCAUGUCAUAAGAUGUGGGUUCGAAUCCCAUCGGAGGCG
Non-coding RNA from Phthorimaea operculella (potato tuberworm), 74 nucleotides. NCBI's taxonomy places the organism in Eukaryota, Metazoa, Arthropoda, Insecta, Lepidoptera, Gelechiidae. The record is from the annotation of a GenBank genome assembly.